UUGCUUGAAGGAAGUGAUAUUAGGCAUGGAUUGAAAGGAGCAGGGCUAUCUCUUUACAAGCAUCAAAUGAAUAUUUAAUAACAUAACAACAAUUACCUGAAAUGUCAAUAUACAAUAAUUAAAUUGAAGGAUCAUCAUCUAAAUUCUAAAAGUAGCAACUCAAGUCUGAUUACGCAGACCAACUUAGCAACUACCGGGUCUUUGGAUCUAUUCAUUUUCUUUUUAACUCUAAUUUAUUUCUUAAUUUUUUUUUGGUUCUCAAAGUUGAAUGGAAAAAAAUAAAAUUGUGAUUAAUUUUUAUUUUUGGUGAUCAAUGAAAUCGACCAUUCGGCUGCCACUCCUUUCCAGGCGGUGAAAUCACCAAUUCAAGUAGCAAAUGGAAAUUUGGGAGGAGGACCACCUUCAAGUGAAGAAUUAAAACAAACUCAGAGUAGUCCUCUAAUCGAGGAAGGCAAUAUUUUAAAGGGAGUUUGAUUUCACUUUGUGGGACUAGAUGCAGCAAUAAAGAUACCCCUACUGAUUGUGACAAUUCUGCGAGGCCCUUUCUAUAUGCAUAUCUUGCUUUAUAUUCUUGCUUGUUUAAUGGCAUUUCCUCUAUUUAAACCCUAAUGCAAUGAUUUAUUAUCCAAUCUCAUUGGUCUAUUAAAGCGAUUGUAUUUAAUAAAUUAAAUAAUUGGUUUAAUGGAGAUAAGAUAAAGAAAUUGUGACAAAUUAUUUUAAGUCAUUACUUGCAAUGCUGAAGGAUAAUAUAGCUUCAAAUCUAGCUGGAAGAUUUUAUUAUUUUGGGUUUUUUGUUAACUUUUAUAACUUGCAGAACUAGAAUUGGAUUUUAAUCAUGCAUUGAGCACCCACUACAGCAUAAUAUUAAUACAACACUUGCUUUCAUCCUUGAGAUCUGUAUUGUUCUUGCUGUCAAUCAUGACAUGUUAACUAAUGUGGUUAUAAGGUCUUUGGUGCUUGCAAUCAUACACUUUUUAGCAAGAUCCUCUUAGCUUGAUUUGACUCUUCACUCUUCAUAAUUACUAGAUAAUCAGCUCCAUGUUCUUUUGGUCUAAGUGUUUAUUUUUCAAUUAUAUGGACUGUAUCAAAGUAUGUCAAGAAAAUUAGUUCCAAAUUCUCUUGGUUAGUGUUUAUGUUUUUGGUAUAUGGACAUUAUUAAAGUAAAACUAGGAUUUAAAACCACCAGAUCAAACAGUUGACAUCUUUAGUAUAUGGAUAUUAUGUUUUUAGUAUAUGGACAUUAUGAGUGGCAAGCCAUUUAUUUGAGAAAUUAACAUCUUUCUCUGGCCUUUUCUGAUUGUAUUUAGUGUCGAUUUUUAUUGUACCUGUCAUUUAUCUUUGUUCCUCACGUGUUAGAUAGGUGCUGCAAGAUCCCUUUCUUUAUUUCCCACUCAUUAUGGUUUGUAUUGCCUUAUUUUAAGGAAUAGAGUUCUAGUGCAGCAAGUGCACUUGCACAGCAGCAAUGCUGCAAGUGCAGUAGUGUAGUGUGCAAGUGCAGCAAUGCUGCAGUGCACAGCGCACUUGCAGCAAGUGCAUCAGCAAGCUGCACUGCACUUGCACAGCAACAAUGUUGCAAGCUUGCUGCUACACUUGCACCUAAAAUUUAAAGUCUUCCACCUAGCCCUCCUAUCUUGAAACCAUAUAGUUAUCUGCCUCGGCUAAAGUCCUAAGGCCUUAGCCAACUACAUUUUCCUGUCAGGUUCAAGCUUAUUCCCCAUCUCAAAGCUCUUCUCAAGUGUCUUAACCUGCUUCAAGUUUAGCAUCUUCUUCUCUCCUAUACAUUGUGAUGCAUAGCAAGUGCAGCUUGCUUUUACUGCACUUGCAUCAAGUGCACUGUGCACAACAGCACUUGCUGCAGUUGCAGCUACUGCUGUGCCAGCAGCACUUACUGUGGGGACUGAAAAUUUUUUUUUCUGAGAUUAUUUGUGGGUUAAAGUGAUGGUUCAGAAUUGGACUAAGUUCUUGUGUUCCCAAAUCAGAAAUGUGUCUCUGUUUUUAUGCUUUUGUUGGUCUUUUCACACCAAUUGAUAGUUCUAAAUUAAAAUGAAAUAUUUUUUCUUAAUCUUUUUUUCAUCUCACAGGUAUGAUCUGCACUAUUUUAUAUGUUUACAUUGUAUUUUAGACAGGGGCUGCUAUUUCCAAGUUGCAAACAUUUUUCCACUUUAGUAAUUGCUAUACACUGCUCUAUGUAUGAGUAUAAGCUUUUUCCUUGAAGACUAUUCUAAUUAGAAUUCAGAAUCAAUUAUAUUACAGAAUUUCCAUAGUCAAUUUUACCAAUCAAAUAAUCAACAACUUCAAUUCUAAGCUAAGGAAAACGUAUAAAACACAUUAAUUUAGAGACUUAUAGGUCAAAGAUAUUUUCAAACUUUGAACAGAAUUAUAUAUUUCUCUCCUAGUUAUUACAACAUCAAUCACCUAAUUAUAGGGUCAUUUGAUAGGUCUUAAGAACAUUUUCAAGUGAGGUUAAAAAAAGUACUUAUUCAUAUGAAUAAUGACUUUUUUGUUAUUAUUACAUAUAAGAUUAAUUUUUAAAAAAUAUAUUUAUUUACAUUUAUGUAUAAUUAAUUAUUUAAAAACUAGUAUUUAUAUGAACAUGUGUUUUAUUUACAAGAGGAUGAACCUUUCAUUGAACAAAAGAGCACAAAACAAAAUAAAAAAAUUCCAGAUAUGAAAGAAUCAACAAAUAUCAAGUAAUUAAUCCCCACACGUUUUGGUCAUCGUCUGAGACUAACUAGGAGGAAAAUGAACAUAAAGCUCUCAACUUGGCAAAAUCCAUUAAGGAAACUACCAAUAUCAAUAAGCGAGCCAUCUUCAUAUCUGUGCUAAUCCUCAAUUCACACUUAGAAUAAUAAAAUUUGCAUGCUGACACGAAAUUAAACAGUUGUGAUAAAUCCAACGAAAACAAACAGUAUAUGCAAAAACCCGCGAAACAAAAGCUAAAUUCAUCAUCAAUGCACAAGAAGAUUGCGAAAGCAUUGGAUAAAAAAUGAAUUAUAGUUCAUAAACAACCAUCGAUAUAAACAAGGGGACAUACAGAGAAAAUAAUUAAAUUAAAAAUUUACAAGAAAAAAAAGCACAAACCUCAUUCAAAAAUUAGGGUUUAGAUUAAUCUCCCUCUUUAUCAAACUCCGUUGAGACUGUAGCUUUCGUUCUCCCUCACCAUUUUCCGAUUAUUUUCAGUCCUCUCGCUCUCCAAAAUCUCACACUCUCUAAAAUAAACGAAGCUAUAGCUGAGCUGAGAUAGAGUGUUGGAGGACUUGAAAUGGCGGCUUUUGAACAACCAAAGAUGUUAUUUUCCUUUGGUUUUGGGUAUUUCCCUUUCGAAGAUGGACUGGCUGGGAAAAAAUACGAAUCGCCAGGGUUUAGCAACGACACAACAGUAGCGAUGGAGCUUCUUCACGGGUGAGGGCGACAGCACAAUGGUGCCUUGUGUAUUCUCAGGCGACAGCAGUAGGAGUAAACAAUUUUGAAGGAAAACAACGAGAAGGACAAGGGAUUUGGUUAGAUAUCUCCCCAAUAUCAAUAUCAAAACGACCGUUUUAAUAAGUUUCAUAGAUAAAACUUUAGCGAACAAAUAUUAGUCGGUAAUUAGUCGGUACAAGUCAACCACAAAAAGCAUUAGCGAUCAAAUAUUAGUCGCUAAAAAGUUGAUAAGAUAGUCGCUAACUGGUCGAUAUUAAAGUGUCAUAUUUUUAUCACGAAAUCAUA
This 3708-nucleotide long non-coding RNA is filed under the name Manihot esculenta (cassava). Its description in RNAcentral is "long non-coding RNA (MESC_LNC004492)". The record is from RNAcentral. Lineage: Eukaryota; Viridiplantae; Streptophyta; Magnoliopsida; Malpighiales; Euphorbiaceae.